Molecule: transfer-messenger RNA, 354 nt
Filed under: Amylibacter sp. SFDW26
Lineage: Bacteria; Pseudomonadati; Pseudomonadota; Alphaproteobacteria; Rhodobacterales; Paracoccaceae
Description: Alphaproteobacteria transfer-messenger RNA
Rfam family: Alphaproteobacteria transfer-messenger RNA
About the family: Bacterial tmRNA, also known as 10Sa RNA or SsrA, is named for its dual tRNA and mRNA-like properties. Its role is to liberate the mRNA from a stalled ribosome. To accomplish this part of the tmRNA is used as a reading frame that ends in a translation stop signal.
Source: Rfam by way of RNAcentral
CCCCUUUAAUUACCCUCCUGAAGCCCUUAUAUUAAAUUUGUUCCUUCGGGGACUAUGGUGAUAAACGCGCAUGUAAUAAACGGAUCGGACCCGGGGGCGGUACCCGGCGACUCCACCAAAAAUCCCUUCAUUUGAGGGCGGUAUGGGGUCGAAAUAGGAUCGACGGACGUCUAAAGAUGUUAGCUUUUACUCGGCUGUCUGCCACCGUUAUCGGCGAAAACUGUACAAUUGCAAAUGACAAUCGUGCUCCGGUAGCUCUAGCUGCGUAAGCAGUUCGAAAUAUCGAAACUUAACUCCUAACGCCUAGCCGCGUUAGGCGGGGUUCGCAGGUACCUUGCAACAGAAACCUGCACU